RNAcentral lists this ribosomal RNA (492 nucleotides) under uncultured bacterium. RNAcentral's name for it is "partial 16S ribosomal RNA". The stretch from base 80 to 492 matches the Rfam family "Bacterial small subunit ribosomal RNA", at positions 39 to 507 of the family's 1533-position model. The record is from RNAcentral.
GGGGGGGGGGGGGGGUGGGGGGGGGGGGGGGGGGGCGGGGGGGGGGGGGGGGGGGGGGGGGGGGGGGGGGUGGGGGGGGGCGGGGGGGUGGGGGGUGGAGCGGGAGCGACUUGUUCGGGGGGGGGAGCGUGGGGAGGCUGGCGCGAAUACCGCGUACGACCUACGGGUGAAAGCAGGGGACCUUCGGACCGUGCGCGCGUGAAUGCGCCGAGGUCGGAUUAGCUAGUUGGUGGGGUAGAGGCCCACCACGGCGAGGAUCCGUAGCUGGUCUGAGAAGAUGAUCAGCCACACUGGAACUGGGACACGGUCCAGCCGACUACGGGAGGAAGCAGUGGGGAAUAUUGGACGAUGGGCGCAAGCCUGAUCCAGCCAUACCGCGUGGGUGAAGAAGGCCUUCGGGUGGUAAAGCCCUUUUGUUGGGAAAGAAAAGCAGCAGGUUAAUACCCCGCUGUCCUGACGGUACCCAAAGAAUAAGCACCGGCUAACUUCGUG